GACGAACGCUGGCGGCGUGCCUAAUACAUGCAAGUAGAACGCACAGUUUAUACCGUAGCUUGCUACACCAUAGACUGUGAGUUGCGAACGGGUGAGUAACGCGUAGGUAACCUGCCUGGUAGCGGGGGAUAACUAUUGGAAACGAUAGCUAAUACCGCAUAAUAUUAAUUAUUGCAUGAUAAUUAAUUGAAAGGUGCAAUUGCACCACUACCAGAUGGACCUGCGUUGUAUUAGCUAGUAGGUGAGGUAACGGCUCACCUAGGCGACGAUACAUAGCCGAACUUGGAGGGGGAAUCGGCAAACUGGGAAUGAGAAACGGGCCAGAAUUCUACGGGAAGGAGCAGUAAGGGAACCUUGGGAAAGGGAGGAAGGUUGGACGGGGAAACGCGCGGGGAGGAAGGAAGGUUUCGGAUCGUAAAGCUCUGUUGUAAGAGAAGAACGGGUGUGAGAGUGGAAAGUUCACACUGUGACGGUAUCUUACCAGAAAGGGACGGCUAACUACGUG
This 505-nucleotide ribosomal RNA is filed under the name uncultured bacterium. RNAcentral describes it as "partial 16S ribosomal RNA". It matches the Rfam family "Bacterial small subunit ribosomal RNA", at positions 28 to 507 of the family's 1533-position model. The record is from RNAcentral.